Molecule: ribosomal RNA, 507 nt
Filed under: uncultured Entrophospora
Lineage: Eukaryota; Fungi; Glomeromycota; Glomeromycetes; Entrophosporales; Entrophosporaceae
Description: SSU rRNA
Rfam family: Eukaryotic small subunit ribosomal RNA
Source: RNAcentral
CCAAUAGCGUAUAUUAAAGUUGUUGCAGUUAAAAAGCUCGUAGUUGAAUUUCGGGAUUGGCGCAUCGGUCGUGCCUCACGGGGUAUGAACUGGUGCAGUCAAUUUCUCACCUUCUGGAGAACCGCGAUGUCCUUAAUUGGAUGCCGCGGGGAACCAGGACCUUUACUUUGAAAAAAUUAGCGUGUUUAAAGCAGGCAUUUUUGCUUGAAUACAUUAGCAUAGAAUAAUAAAAUAGGACGGCAUGGUUCUAUUUUGUUGGUUUCUAGGACCACCGUAAUGAUUAAUAGGGAUAGUUGGGGGCAUUAGUAUUCAAUUGUCAGAGGUGAAAUUCUUGGAUUUAUUGAAGACUAACUACUGCGAAAGCAUUUGCCAAGGAUGUUUUCAUUAAUCAAGAACGAAAGUUAGGGGAUCGAAGACGAUCAGAUACCGUCGUAGUCUUAACCAUAAACUAUGCCGACUAGGAAUCAGACGAUGUUAAUUUUUUAAUGACUCGUUUGGCACCUUACG